Molecule: ribosomal RNA, 879 nt
Filed under: uncultured bacterium
Lineage: Bacteria
Description: bacterial SSU rRNA
Rfam family: Bacterial small subunit ribosomal RNA
Source: RNAcentral
CGGCGUGCCUAAUACAUGCAAGUGGGACGCAAGGGAACACACUGUGCUUGCACACCGUGUUUUCUUGAGUCGCGAACGGGUGAGUAACGCGUAGGUAACCUGCCUAUUAGCGGGGGAUAACUAUUGGAAACGAUAGCUAAUACCGCAUAAUAUUAAUUAUUGCAUGAUAAUUGAUUGAAAGAUGCAAGCGCAUCACUAGUAGAUGGACCUGCGUUGUAUUAGCUAGUUGGUAAGGUAAGAGCUUACCAAGGCGACGAUACAUAGCCGACCUGAGAGGGUGAUCGGCCACACUGGGACUGAGACACGGCCCAGACUCCUACGGGAGGCAGCAGUAGGGAGUCUUCGGCAAUGGACGAAAGUCUGACCGAGCAACGCCGCGUGAGUGAAGAAGGUUUUCGGAUCGUAAAGCUCUGUUGUAAGUCAAGAACGUGUGUGAGAGUGGAAAGUUCACACAGUGACGGUAGCUUACCAGAAAGGGACGGCUAACUACGUGCCAGCAGCCGCGGUAAUACGUAGGUCCCGAGCGUUGUCCGGAUUUAUUGGGCGUAAAGGGAGCGCAGGCGGUCAGGAAAGUCUGGAGUAAAAGGCUAUGGCUCAACCAUAGUGUGCUCUGGAAACUGUCUGACUUGAGUGCAGAAGGGGAGAGUGGAAUUCCAUGUGUAGCGGUGAAAUGCGUAGAUAUAUGGAGGAACACCAGUGGCGAAAGCGGCUCUCUGGUCUGUCACUGACGCUGAGGCUCGAAAGCGUGGGUAGCGAACAGGAUUAGAUACCCUGGUAGUCCACGCCGUAAACGAUGAGUGCUAGGUGUUAGGCCCUUUCCGGGGCUUAGUGCCGGAGCUAACGCAAUAAGCACUCCGCCUGGGGAGUACGACCGCAAGG